RNA transcript from Heterocephalus glaber (naked mole-rat), 2727 nucleotides. RefSeq lists it as uncharacterized. The record is from RefSeq and is a predicted model, not a curated record. NCBI's taxonomy places the organism in Eukaryota, Metazoa, Chordata, Mammalia, Rodentia, Bathyergidae.
UGCCCCCUCCCUACCCCCCGCCCCGGCCUUCUUUCUGACGCAGCGCGGAGAGAGGUCGGACCUCGCUCGGGAUGGACCCUUCCUGGACAAGCAGAAAACCUUCCUUGCCUAAAAGGCCUACUAAAGACACUUUCCAUUCCGCUAAAGGCGGCUGCCAUUUCCGCUCGCAGUUAUUCUCUUGGGGUCGAACUAGUCUAGAGCGCUAAGGUGCAACUUUGGCUCGGCUCAUUUUGCGAGUCUAGGACUAUAUGAAUUGCUGAAACACAAAGAGCUGUACCGAGACAACAACACGAAAUGCCACGGCUUUCAGCUGCAGAUGAGUGGCAACUCUCCGGCCAGAGCGGAAUAGCAUGCGGAGACUUGGACAUGCAAAGACCAGGCAGCAGGCACGGAAUGGACGUUGGCGAAUAGAGCUAAACAGACAUCUGAAGAGAGCCGCUACGGUUUAGAGAAUGGCCCGACCAGAGAAUCUGUCCAACAGGACCAUGGGAGAAAUAUCAUUUAGCUAGCUGCCAGGAGUAAAACCUCAUUAAAGAGGUCGAAUCUCACUCGAAGAUUCCAACUCUUCUUACUUUUAACUGCAUUAGCUAACUUCUGGUCGCUUCCUGGGCUUCCCCUGAAGAGGGAAGAGGUCCUCCGAUGUGGAGUAAAAUACGUUAUUCUCCUGCUGGGCGAGGGUGACCACAGUUCCCUGACAGUGUUGUUAUCAGCAAGAAGGCCUUCACCAGAUGCCAGGCCUUCAUCCUUGGACUUCUCAGCUUUUAGAACUGUGAGCUAAACAAACAUUUAUUCUUUAUAAAUUACUGAGUCAGUGAUAUUAAAUUAUAGCAACAGAAAAUGGGCUAAGACAUCAUUGUAUCUCCAACUUUCCUUGGAAUCCUCACUUGAUAGUGUGAAAGAAGAUAAUCUUGAAGCCUCUUGAGGCCUUUAAAGCCACUACUCAAUGACCCUGGGAAACUGAACUUACUGUUGACUGCCUGUUCAUCUACUUCUGGAUCUAUGACUUGGCUAAAUGAAACUUCAGCUGUUUAUCUGAGAUAUAAAAGUAUUUACUGUGUGUAAUUCUUUGCUUAAUUCCACUUUUUUUGACUCAUCCCUAGAACCUCAGACAGCAUUCUUUUCCCCAGAGCACAAUUCAUACCUAGAGCUACUUUAAAUGUAGUCUUUAACCCAGCUGAGUAAAACAUGAUGUGUGCCUGGGAUUUAGCUCAGUGGUUUUGCUGCCUGCUGCGCAAGUGCCAGGACUUGAGUUCGAUCUCCGGUACCAAAAAAAGAAAAAGCAAAAAAGCUAAACAAAAAAAACAUGAUCUGAUUAUCUAAAUGACGUGAUUUUAUUUUAUAAACUGAUAGCAAAGUUGUCACUCUGGGACUGGGGCUGCAUUCUACACAGCACAACUUUAGUAGUACUGAAUUUCUUUCCAUCUACUAAAAGAAAUUUUUGUAUAAACACAGCUUUUAAUUCUUGCCUCUAAGAAAUUUUUUCCUUCUUGGCAUGUUACCCAGACCAUUUCUUCAGUUCUGUUCAGAAACGUUUUUUUCCUCUAACAUAGCAAAUCACAGAGCAUUCAUUUGUCAGUCUUUCCUUACCUUUCCUUUGUAAUGGAGAGUAGAUUCUUUUCUUCAAAAUAUAAAAUGAUAAUAAUCUCAGGCAAAAGCACAAUUACAGCACACGUGAGGCCCUGGAAUAGUGUUGCUGGAGUGCUUGCUUCCUGAGCUCACAGUGAACUACUGACAGACUUUUGUGGUUCUGCCAAUAAACUGCCUGCUAACUGUGUAUCUUGUCUUAGUCACUAAGAACUUCUGUCAAUAUUACUUUUAAGUCUGUCUGGCUUUUGUCUUCUUCUCAAGCUACUAAUCUGCACUAAUCUGAUACAUGUUAAUAAUUUUUACUUUAUAAACAUCCAUUUCUGUUUAUUUUGUGAAUGUUAGACAUCUUACUGAAAAUGGUUCCCAGAUAUGUUAUUCUAAGAAUUUUUAGUCAGUUAUCAUCAUCCUAGGAUUCCCUUUAUUUCUUUUAUAUCAAGCCCCUUGUUUGCUUGAUCCUACUCUGCCUUGUUCUUUCAUUAAUGCCUUCCCCAUCCCAGUCCUGGGUAUUGAACCCCAGCAACUUGCAUUGACCUGCAUCCCUAGCCCUUUCAAUUUUUUUUUUUAAAUUUUGAGACACAGUUUCACUAGUUUUCCCAAGCUGGCAUUGUACUUGUGAUCUUUCUGCCUCAGCUUCCUGAGUCACUGGGAGUACAGACAUAUGUUACUGCUCCUGGGUAUUCCCUCUUCUGAUAAUAUACUCUCCAUUAUUUCUCUGAGAAAAAUUGUGUGGGAAUGUAUUAUUGUUAAAGCAGAAAAACAGAGCCAUAGCAAUUAUUCUAUCGGAUUUAUUUUAAGAACUGGUUUAUUUGAUUUGGGGAGCUCACUAGGCAAGUCUAAAAUCUGUAGGGAAGGCCAGAUCUCUCAGACAUAGGUUGAUGAUGCAGUUCACUGGUAGUGCUUCUUCCAGGAAACCUCAGUCCUGGUCUAAAGCCUUCCAACUGUUUGGAUUAGGGGCACUCAGAUUAUCUAGGAUUAUAUCUGUUUCUUAAAACCAAUUAAUUAUAGAUGUCUAUUCUCUCUAUUCUUUGUAUUUUUUUUUCAUAACAUUCUGGAGAUUGUAUAAAGUUCAAGAGAAAGCUUGGAGAGCUAUUCUUAAUCAUUGCUGGAAUUCACCUUGGGUGAACUAGAUGUAAUCUAUUU